Molecule: transfer RNA, 72 nt
Filed under: Camponotus floridanus (Florida carpenter ant)
Lineage: Eukaryota; Metazoa; Arthropoda; Insecta; Hymenoptera; Formicidae
Rfam family: tRNA
About the family: Transfer RNA (tRNA) molecules are approximately 80 nucleotides in length. Their secondary structure includes four short double-helical elements and three loops (D, anti-codon, and T loops).
Source: Rfam by way of RNAcentral
UGCUGAAUAGCUCAGUGGUAAGAGCAGUCGCCCGGCAAGCGAAAGACUCGGGUUCGAUUCCCGAUUCAGCGA